RNAcentral lists this ribosomal RNA (677 nucleotides) under Shigella sonnei. RNAcentral's name for it is "partial 23S ribosomal RNA". It matches the Rfam family "Bacterial large subunit ribosomal RNA", at positions 2238 to 2909 of the family's 2925-position model. Lineage: Bacteria; Pseudomonadati; Pseudomonadota; Gammaproteobacteria; Enterobacterales; Enterobacteriaceae. The record is from RNAcentral.
AUCCGGGUUGCGGACAGUGUCUGGUGGGUAGUUUGACUGGGGCGGUCUCCUCCUAAAGAGUAACGGAGGAGCACGAAGGUUGGCUAAUCCUGGUCGGACAUCAGGAGGUUAGUGCAAUGGCAUAAGCCAGCUUGACUGCGAGCGUGACGGCGCGAGCAGGUGCGAAAGCAGGUCAUAGUGAUCCGGUGGUUCUGAAUGGAAGGGCCAUCGCUCAACGGAUAAAAGGUACUCCGGGGAUAACAGGCUGAUACCGCCCAAGAGUUCAUAUCGACGGCGGUGUUUGGCACCUCGAUGUCGGCUCAUCACAUCCUGGGGCUGAAGUAGGUCCCAAGGGUAUGGCUGUUCGCCAUUUAAAGUGGUACGCGAGCUGGGUUUAGAACGUCGUGAGACAGUUCGGUCCCUAUCUGCCGUGGGCGCUGGAGAACUGAGGGGGGCUGCUCCUAGUACGAGAGGACCGGAGUGGACGCAUCACUGGUGUUCGGGUUGUCAUGCCAAUGGCACUGCCCGGUAGCUAAAUGCGGAAGAGAUAAGUGCUGAAAGCAUCUAAGCACGAAACUUGCCCCGAGAUGAGUUCUCCCUGACCCUUUAAGGGUCCUGAAGGAACGUUGAAGACGACGACGUUGAUAGGCCGGGUGUGUAAGCGCAGCGAUGCGUUGAGCUAACCGGUACUAAUGAAC